UCGAACGGCAGCACGGGAGCUUGCUCCUGGUGGCGAGUGGCGGACGGGUGAGUAACGUAUCGGAACGUACCCAGUCGUGGGGGAUAACUAUCCGAAAGGAUAGCUAAUACCGCAUACGACCUGAGGGUGAAAGCGGGGGAUCGCAAGACCUCGCGCGAUUGGAGCGGCCGAUAUCGGAUUAGCUAGUUGGUGAGGUAAAGGCUCACCAAGGCGACGAUCCGUAGCGGGUCUGAGAGGACGACCCGCCACACUGGAACUGAGACACGGUCCAGACUCC
Molecule: ribosomal RNA, 277 nt
Filed under: unidentified marine bacterioplankton
Lineage: Bacteria
Also listed under: 1 other name
Description: partial 16S ribosomal RNA
Rfam family: Bacterial small subunit ribosomal RNA
Source: RNAcentral